UGCCAGCCGCCGCGGUAAUACGUAGGGUGCGAGCGUUGUUCGGAAUUACUGGGCGUAAAGGGUGUGUAGGCGGACUAGUCAGCCAGGGGUGAAAGCCCGGAGCUCAACUCCGGAACUGCUCUUGGAACUGCUAGUCUAGAGAGGGUCAGAGGCCAACGGAAUUCCAGGUGUAGAGGUGAAAUUCGUAGAUAUCUGGAGGAACACCGGUGGCGAAAGCGGUUGGCUGGGGCCAUUCUGACGCUGAUGCACGAAAGCGUGGGGAGCAAACAGGAUUAGAUA
RNAcentral lists this ribosomal RNA (279 nucleotides) under uncultured bacterium. RNAcentral's name for it is "partial 16S ribosomal RNA". It matches the Rfam family "Bacterial small subunit ribosomal RNA", at positions 506 to 784 of the family's 1533-position model. The record is from RNAcentral.